ACCUAGAAUGUAUAGGCUUCCCUCUACAGGCGUUCAAAUCACGCAACGAUUCCGCUAGAGACUCAAGAGAAACGAUUUUUUCAUUGGUUGCUCCCAAAUUGUUGUUGAUUAUUCCAAGAAACAAAUGGGAAAUUCAUGGAAUAGUGGGAAAGGACGUUUUCUGGUGAUGGCGUAAUGGAACAUGGAGUUUGGGAGAAUGGAAUGGAGGAAAAAUUAUUACAGUUUUCUCUCGUCGAUAUCAUAAAUGCACUACUCCCAAAAAGGAUAUACAUACGUAUUUAUAAAUAUCUUCACACAUACUUGUCUCCUACUCUAGCGGUGUACAUACAUGAAAUAGGAAUAUUACGAGAGGGUCACCGCCUACGCCUCCAAUGGACAAUACAUCGUUCGUCUACGGUGCAUCAUCGAUCUUAUUGUUUGCCUAGGAUCGAAUGCGGCUUUUAGCGGUCACAAAGAGAGCGAAGAAAAGUCGAGAAAAUUUUUCUAAAGGAAUUCACAAGAGUGGCGGUGGUCAUUUUUUAAGUAAAUAUCCCCCUGUCCCUCUGCCAUUGGCGUUUUCCCACCUGCACAUUAUUUUAAUUGGCAAAAUUAUUUAUCUAUUUUUCCAACAAACAAGACAAUGUGACAAAAGCCUUCAACUAAGCCCAGUGUACAAGAACUCUCGUCUUUUUCUCACCGCUGCCUUUCAUCAUUAAGAGAAAUGAUUGCAAGCUUGAGAUGAAGACCACCUAUACCAAUGAGCCAAGCCCCCCCCCCUCGACCCCCUCCUCACGGCAAAUAAAAAUUACUCUUUUUCGUAGAAAUGCAACCGGAGGCUGAGACAAUCUUGUCAAUUAGUUUCUCGCGGUUUUCCUUUCCAUCUACCUCGUCAUUUAUUUUCAUUUCUUCCAAGAAAAGAUUUCAAUAAACCGCCAGAUUACACUUUUACCUCAAAUAUCUAAUGAAAGAGAAUAAAUUGGAAGUCCCUAAUGAAGUCAUUAAUUGAAAUAAUCAACUGAAUAAUCGUAUUUUUGGAAAUAUUAUCACCAAACACACGAGAACAACGAGAAUACAAAUGACGAUGGAAAAUAAGAAUUAAUCGUUUAUGGCAACAUUUGAGAAUUGGGUAUUAGAUAUGAGAGAGGGGUAAUGAAAGAAAAAACAAAAGCAGAAAGGACGGGCCUAGCCAUAUAAUAACAGGGUUGCCGGCGGUGCCAAGGCCCUCGCUAACGAACCCACUCGACUCGACGUAUUCGGGCCCGCUAGGACUGCGACACUGUAUUAUUUCAACAAUUUUUACUCAUUUACUCUUUGUGUUUCUUAGCCUUGUGGGGGCAUCAUCAGAAAUCAUUGUCGAAUCCAUAUAAUCAGCUGGUGAUUACGUGCAACCGUAAUUCUGAGUAAAGCCUCAAUCUUUUCUCUAAUAAGCCACAUGAUUGUUACUGGUAAUAUCAAAGUGAAGAAUAAAACGUUUCAUUCUUUUUUCA
Molecule: long non-coding RNA, 1466 nt
Organism: Diachasmimorpha longicaudata
Lineage: Eukaryota; Metazoa; Arthropoda; Insecta; Hymenoptera; Braconidae
Exons: 2
Source: RefSeq, a predicted model, not a curated record